RNAcentral lists this ribosomal RNA (1552 nucleotides) under Staphylococcus aureus. Its description in RNAcentral is "16S ribosomal RNA". It matches the Rfam family "Bacterial small subunit ribosomal RNA". Lineage: Bacteria; Bacillati; Bacillota; Bacilli; Caryophanales; Staphylococcaceae. The record is from RNAcentral.
UUUAUGGAGAGUUUGAUCCUGGCUCAGGAUGAACGCUGGCGGCGUGCCUAAUACAUGCAAGUCGAGCGAACGGACGAGAAGCUUGCUUCUCUGAUGUUAGCGGCGGACGGGUGAGUAACACGUGGAUAACCUACCUAUAAGAUUGGGAUAACUUCGGGAAACCGGAGCUAAUACCGGAUAAUAUUUUGAACCGCAUGGUUCAAAAGUGAAAGACGGUCUUGCUGUCACUUAUAGAUGGAUCCGCGCUGCAUUAGCUAGUUGGUAAGGUAACGGCUUACCAAGGCAACGAUGCAUAGCCGACCUGAGAGGGUGAUCGGCCACACUGGAACUGAGACACGGUCCAGACUCCUACGGGAGGCAGCAGUAGGGAAUCUUCCGCAAUGGGCGAAAGCCUGACGGAGCAACGCCGCGUGAGUGAUGAAGGUCUUCGGAUCGUAAAACUCUGUUAUUAGGGAAGAACAUAUGUGUAAGUAACUGUGCACAUCUUGACGGUACCUAAUCAGAAAGCCACGGCUAACUACGUGCCAGCAGCCGCGGUAAUACGUAGGUGGCAAGCGUUAUCCGGAAUUAUUGGGCGUAAAGCGCGCGUAGGCGGUUUUUUAAGUCUGAUGUGAAAGCCCACGGCUCAACCGUGGAGGGUCAUUGGAAACUGGAAAACUUGAGUGCAGAAGAGGAAAGUGGAAUUCCAUGUGUAGCGGUGAAAUGCGCAGAGAUAUGGAGGAACACCAGUGGCGAAGGCGACUUUCUGGUCUGUAACUGACGCUGAUGUGCGAAAGCGUGGGGAUCAAACAGGAUUAGAUACCCUGGUAGUCCACGCCGUAAACGAUGAGUGCUAAGUGUUAGGGGGUUUCCGCCCCUUAGUGCUGCAGCUAACGCAUUAAGCACUCCGCCUGGGGAGUACGACCGCAAGGUUGAAACUCAAAGGAAUUGACGGGGACCCGCACAAGCGGUGGAGCAUGUGGUUUAAUUCGAAGCAACGCGAAGAACCUUACCAAAUCUUGACAUCCUUUGACAACUCUAGAGAUAGAGCUUUCCCCUUCGGGGGACAAAGUGACAGGUGGUGCAUGGUUGUCGUCAGCUCGUGUCGUGAGAUGUUGGGUUAAGUCCCGCAACGAGCGCAACCCUUAAGCUUAGUUGCCAUCAUUAAGUUGGGCACUCUAAGUUGACUGCCGGUGACAAACCGGAGGAAGGUGGGGAUGACGUCAAAUCAUCAUGCCCCUUAUGAUUUGGGCUACACACGUGCUACAAUGGACAAUACAAAGGGCAGCGAAACCGCGAGGUCAAGCAAAUCCCAUAAAGUUGUUCUCAGUUCGGAUUGUAGUCUGCAACUCGACUACAUGAAGCUGGAAUCGCUAGUAAUCGUAGAUCAGCAUGCUACGGUGAAUACGUUCCCGGGUCUUGUACACACCGCCCGUCACACCACGAGAGUUUGUAACACCCGAAGCCGGUGGAGUAACCUUUUAGGAGCUAGCCGUCGAAGGUGGGACAAAUGAUUGGGGUGAAGUCGUAACAAGGUAGCCGUAUCGGAAGGUGCGGCUGGAUCACCUCCUUU